This 301-nucleotide ribosomal RNA is filed under the name uncultured bacterium. RNAcentral's name for it is "partial 16S ribosomal RNA". It matches the Rfam family "Bacterial small subunit ribosomal RNA", at positions 509 to 807 of the family's 1533-position model. The record is from RNAcentral.
CAGCAGCCGCGGUAAUACGGAGGGGGCUAGCGUUGUUCGGAAUUACUGGGCGUAAAGCGUACGUAGGCGGCUUUGUAAGUUAGAGGUGAAAGCCUGGAGCUCAACUCCAGAAUUGCCUUUAAGACUGCAUCGCUUGAACGUCGGAGAGGUGAGUGGAAUUCCGCGUGUAGCAGUGAAAUGCGUAGAUAUGCGGAGGAACACCGAUGGCGAAGGCAGCCCCCUGGGCCAAUACUGACGCUCAUGCACGAAAGCGUGGGGAGCAAACAGGAUUAGAUACCCCCGUAGUCCCUGUCUCUUAUAC